GUAGCAGAUGGGAUCUGCAGUGGCUAAACAGUCCAAUCGUGGAGCUGCGGACUCUACCACAGGUAGGGCAGGAGGAGCUUGAUGAGUUGGAUACUCUAGAUUCAGAGAUUAAUGCUAGGAACUCGUACUCACGUACCUGGGGUUUGUUAGUUUGUAGCAUGACUUCCAGAUCUGAAGCAUGUGCUUGCAGGUGAAUGUAAAAGAACUCAUGGUGCUACUUUGAAGAGGAGCAGAGGAGUUCAUCUUGGUGCUUUGAACAUUGCUCAUCUUUCAAUCAACGGCACUGUGAAACUAUCUGGG
Molecule: long non-coding RNA, 300 nt
Organism: Rhincodon typus (whale shark)
Lineage: Eukaryota; Metazoa; Chordata; Chondrichthyes; Orectolobiformes; Rhincodontidae
Exons: 3
Source: RefSeq, a predicted model, not a curated record